GGGAGUGGAUGAGUUCUGGUGUUCUCUCUGGUCUUCAAAACCAGCGCGAGGGGUUAAUAGCUUCUUGGGUAAGUUCGAUUCUUACACAUUCCCGCCA
Molecule: transfer RNA, 97 nt
Filed under: Streptococcaceae bacterium
Lineage: Bacteria; Bacillati; Bacillota; Bacilli; Lactobacillales; Streptococcaceae
Description: tRNA-Sec
Rfam family: Selenocysteine transfer RNA
Source: RNAcentral